GGGGAUUUAGCUCAGUGGUAGAGCACUUUCCUAGAAAGUGCAAGGCCCUGGGUUCAGUCCCCA
Molecule: transfer RNA, 63 nt
Filed under: Rattus norvegicus (Norway rat)
Lineage: Eukaryota; Metazoa; Chordata; Mammalia; Rodentia; Muridae
Rfam family: tRNA
About the family: Transfer RNA (tRNA) molecules are approximately 80 nucleotides in length.
Source: Rfam by way of RNAcentral